AUGCUUACAUCAGCAGCAUGCAUACAAAACUGGAAGUAGACAAGAUUAACAUGGCCCUGUGCAAGAAUGACACACACACCUCUGAAGCAGUCUAUGUUUUU
Molecule: small nuclear RNA, 101 nt
Organism: Mesocricetus auratus (golden hamster)
Lineage: Eukaryota; Metazoa; Chordata; Mammalia; Rodentia; Cricetidae
Source: Ensembl